GGGUUUUAGAUCUCCAAAACCUCCCAACGAACAGUACAGGGCACCUCCUUCCUCUUCUUCUUGUCUUCCCAAUCCGAAACGGUGUCUCGUGACAAGCAAUGGCCUCCUUUGUUUCUGCGAGAUCCAUUUUCCGGUCAGCCUCCGUCCGCAACGCGGCGGCGAAGCUCGCCUCCGAAGCUAAGGCCGCCCGUUCCCCGUUUCGCGCCGCCACCAACAGGCCAGCAUCCCGUCUCAUUUCGAGGACCCCGGUGGAGGCAAGCGCCUGUGUGGAGUCGAUGAUGCCUUACCACAACGCAACUUCCUCUGCAUUGAUGACUUCGAUGCUCUCCAUCACUCGCCGCACCUACGGUUGGCUUCCCGAAGGUAUCUAGCGAUCACUUGUAGACCUCUUGAUGUCCCUUGCUUGCUUUAUAUUUCUGGCGGAGAGAAGACUAGAUGAAGAGCGAGGAGCAAAGACAGAACAGUUUAAUGUUUUGCCAUAGCAUUUUAAAACUUGCAACGAUGAUGUGUGAUGACUGGUCCGAUGAUUCAGUAGAGCACAAAAUAAGGAUUCUAGGACUCGUCAAAAUAGAUAUUGAAUCAGAUGUUGGUGAGACCUGCUUCUCGCAUUCCCAGGGAACAGAUAACAUGGAUCUGUGUAGGCUUCCGGGGACCUUUUACUUGGGAGAUAUUCGAUAUCAUCUUUGCUUUUCUGAUGCUAUGGAGGAUUAAUCUAGAUGGCGAGUAGAGCGAUCAUGGAGCAUCUGUGUACAAUAUGAAUGGAUAUGUGAUCAUUUAGAAAGCACAAAUGGUUUUUACGUAAUGUUGCCUCUCGUAUUAUGUGUCGGAUGAAAUGGUUCCGGCAUGUUGUGUUGUUUACACGACUUCUGUUCGCCUAUAUUUUGGUCGGAAGGUGUGAGAAUUCUGGCCAUGUGUUCAUUGACUAUCGCAUGGCAAAGCUCUCGCAGGGCUUUCUUUCAAUGGACACGGUAAUGUUAAUCAA
Molecule: non-coding RNA, 982 nt
Organism: Punica granatum (pomegranate)
Lineage: Eukaryota; Viridiplantae; Streptophyta; Magnoliopsida; Myrtales; Lythraceae
Source: RefSeq, a predicted model, not a curated record